This 6046-nucleotide long non-coding RNA is filed under the name Sus scrofa (pig). RNAcentral's name for it is "lncRNA (ENSSSCG00035006763.1)". The record is from RNAcentral. Lineage: Eukaryota; Metazoa; Chordata; Mammalia; Artiodactyla; Suidae.
CUAAAGUCACAUUCCGGCAGCAAUUUUAUGCUGUCAAAAUGCUCUAAACAAGGGGAGAUUUGACUGGCUUCUCUGAGAGCCAGUCAUAGGAAGCUUGGGUUCUGCUUCUUAUUGAGUUUUUCUUUCUUUUUUUUUUUUAAUGGGGGGGCGGUGGGAGAAAAGAAAAACAGAAAGAAGCAACACAAAACAGGACCCCCAAGAGUCUUUUGAAGGGCGCUUCUAUUUUCAGGCCAGGGACCAAUGCGUUCCGUGCAAGGUGUCCUGUUAAACCCAAGCCCCUCAAGAUGCGUGCAGGCGAUCUGGCUGUGGGUGCCGUGGUCACUCCUGCUCGCCGGAGCGGGUGCAGAUAAAGCCUGCGGUGCCACUCUGUGGGUGCCACUUGGCGGGAACAUCCUUCCAGGGGCCCCGACCACUUGGGAGGACUCUGCCCCAGGAGGGCAGGAGGGUGCCGGGUGGGGGUGGGGUGGGGGCUUGACCGGCGUGGCCUCCACGCAGCAGCCCCAGCUGCACAUUGAGGGCUAUUUCCACCCCAGUCGCUGCUCUGUAAUUAACCUCAGUGCUCCCACUUGGGCUAAAAGACCCUCCGCAGAGAGCCCCCCACCCCCGCGGGGCCCAUCUCCCCUUCUCCCAGCCUUCUUGGCCACUUCGUCCUCCCACAGAAUCUUCAGGAGCCUUGAUUCAAAUCUUGGCCCCUGAACCACAUUGCCCCCCCCUUCCUCAGGGCCCUCUCUUUGGGGUUCCGGUCCCCGAUGAAACCUCCACACUCCAGCUGUGCCUUCUGCUAACGCCCUCACUGUUCCCAGCUGAGCCAGCAGGGCCUGACCUCUGGGAAGCUGCGAGGUGCUCUGAUCCCAGCCAGGCCCCUCCCGAAAGGGUGACAGCCUCUCACGGGGAGAAAGGAGCAAAAGCAACCCUGCCACGUGGGUGUCGCCUUCAUGGGCAGGGCUCAGCCCGGGGUCACAGCGAGUCCCCGAUUUACAGUCAGGGUGCACGCCGACCGUCACCAACGUAGGUGGACGGGCCUAGGAGCUUGUCACCUGCUGGUUCACUUACUCUUCUCGGCGACCCUAGAGAUGAGAAUUACCAACGCCACGUUACAAAGACAGAGAAGCGAGGCCCAGAGGUGAGGCCACUUGCCCCACAUCUCACAGAAACCAUCGCCCGCCGAGGGGCAGAGUGAGUGAGGCCUGUGUCUCAUCUACACUCCCAGGACUGGCUGGAGGUCAAGGGGCUGUGCGUCCCGCCCCAGCUCAGCCCAGUCCCAGUGCAGAACCCCAGCUGCCCCUCUUGGGGCCUCAGCUCCCCAUCCGUAGAAUGGGAGAGGGAGGGCACGGCCAUCUAUGGCUCCUUCUGGCUCCAUCUGUUCACAACAGAUGGGAGAGAAAUCAGGGUGGGGGUCUCCCCAAGCUGGGCAGGGAGGCAGACUGGCUCCCCAGGGCCACCCCACACUGUGCUGGAGGCCCUGACGGCAACGGCCAGGAGGUCAGGAAAGGGGGGGCGCCGAGGAAGAGAAGCUGAAAAUUGGGGGUAGCAGGUGCCUAAUGAAAUCAGAAAAGUACUUAGGUUGGGCUUUAAGGAAUGAGGGCAGAAGCCCCAUUCCAGGGAACUGUUCAGAGAAACAAAAAAAGAGCAAAGAAAAGAGAGAAGACCUGCGGGGGCUGGUCCCAAGGCUGGGUGUGGAUGGAGGGUGUGCACGAGGCGUGCAGGCGCCCGGGGAACCGGAGGGGGCUUCGCGGCGCCCACAUUGCUCCAGCAAGAAUGCCAGGCGGGAGCAGAGAGCAGAGCUGGGCUGGCAUGACGGGGCCCGUCUAGCAGAGCCCACGGUGGAAAAAAGAGAUUUAGAUAUUUAUGGGAAAUACACUUGUUGGUGCCAACCGCCUGGCUUUAUUGUCAGGGAAAAAACAAACGCAACCACCGAAACUCGUCCUCAACUGAGAAUCCACAUGGAGGCAAAUGAUCUCCCCAUCAAACCAGUUUUAUUGGAUAUAAAUAUCUAAUUAUUCGUACCAGGCCUUGGAAUGCCAGACAUUUUGCAGCUUUUAUAACAUGUGUGGGAGUCUUUAUAAACGACAUAUAUAUACACAUACACACACAUAUAUAGUUAUAUAUUAACAAACCUGAUUUGAAUUUCCUCUGAAUUAUUUUUUGCUUCGUGGGUCGUUUUUUUGGCUUUUUUUUUUUUAAACAAACCCAGAAAAGAAAAGAAAAAAAAGCUGGAUUAUCUUCCGUGUUGCUCACGCCCCUCUUUCUGCGGGGGCAUUUUAUGAGACCUGACCCAGAAAGUUCCUGGGAAAGGGACCCCUGUACCACUUUUCAUGUCCCCCUGCCCGCCCCCCGCCCCCCGUGGCCACGCAGCAGUUUGGAAGCACACACGUGCUCACAGCACUUUACAACCACAGCACCCACGGCUCCAAGUCAAGGCCUCACAUGUGACCCAAACCUGAGGUCCCGAGCAGGCCCACAGAAGUGCCGACGUUCUGAGCAGGAAGCACACGACGGCAAGCCCUGUGCCAGCCUUCCACACACAUGCGUGACGACAAAGAGCUGGGCAGAGGGGGCCGGAAGGGGCGGGGGGAGUCGUCUUACGGGGAAUAAUGUGGAUCAGCCUGUCAUCUGGAGACGCAUCUUCAUCUAGAAUUAAUGCACUAAAGUUCUUUUGUUUUGCCUCUAAAUGGUUUUAAAGAGACAGUGGACUCGCGGCCCGGACACGGAGGCUUGGUGUGCAGCUGGUCCCGCCUCUGGGACGGGAACAGACUGGCGAUGUGAGCGGGGUGCGGGGGGGAUCCCAUCUUGGCCCCUGCCCCAACCUCCUGCCAUGGUGCUUUCUCCCCCACCUUGUCUCGGUGGAAAGAAGGUUAAAAGGCUCUGGCUUUCACGGCUCCGGACCCAAAGGCCGCGUUAGACAGAGUGAAGAAGGCGAAAGCCCUUGGCUGGGCAGGACGAGGGGGGGGGGGGCUCCUCUGAGCUAGGUGCCAGCCCCCAGAGGAAGGGCUAAGGCAGUGCAGUGAGGACUGCAGAGGCCGGUGUUCCCCAAGCAGGAGCCCCUGCGCUGCUGUGGCUGAGGACAGAGGGGUGGGGGCCGGGGGUAGGAGUUUGGACAGGAGCCAGAAAACCCAGGGGGACCCUGGGGGAAAUCAAGGUCAGGGGAAGCUGUCCCUUUGACGCCAAGGGCGAAAGGAACCAUUCUAGUUAAAGUGGCAUUUGGGGAGACUCUUGCCAGGGGCAGGCGGCCCACACGGACACUUGAAGGAUGCCAACCGCAUCGCUGAACACCCCGCACUCAGACCUAUGGAUGCAAGGGAGAGAAGGAGCUCCAGAUUAGGAGGGCCCUGGGCCUCUGCCGAGAACCUUCUCCGAAGGCCCACACCUCCUCUGCUCAGAGACCCGCACUCAGGGGGAUGGGCUGGGGGCCGGGGGAGCCGAGAACAAACAGCAGCAACAGGAACAGAGUUGAGCCAUUUCAAUUAUUCAUAUGCCAGAUGGAUUCUUUUCCUGCCUUUUUCUUCCCUAUAAAAAUAAGGAGGGAGGGAGGUUCCGACCUUCUGUGAAGGAUAUAAAAAAUCCAGCCGCCUCAGGGGACACCCAACUAUCUAGCAUAUUGCUGUUAAAAUGUCUGCAAAAUUUAAUACACUUGGCAUGCCAUCUAAUCAGUCCUUGGAAACUCGGGCACUCUCUCCUAUGAUCAAACCGCCUCAGAACUUCCGCCUAUGGGAUUCCCACCCCCAUCCUGUCCCCUCAAUUUAGACAGAGUUGUCAUCCCCCCCCCACCCCGCCCCAUAAAAACAGCUGCUGUGGCUUUUAGGACCCAUUUCAUCCUGAAGUUCACCCAAGGUCCAGAAUCAGGAAGGUUUCAUGAGAAGCAAGUGGAAAGGGGGGGCGGGGUGCUAUCACUGGGAUUUUGGUACCCAGGAGAGACAAAGGGUGCUGGGAAGGCAUGUGCUGACAAGGUACGUGGUCCCAAGCUGGGCAGCAGAGGCUGCUCCUUCCAGGGCAGCCAGCGAGAGCCUGACAGCUCUCACUUAAAUAGCUGCUCGGCACACAGAGGGCUCUGUCCUCACCAGAACGCAGGCAGACACCAGUAUACACCUGCCCAACAAUGCACUCCAUCAAUCCAGCCAGGAUUGGGAAAAUUCUGUGAACCCCGCAAGAUUCCGUGGCCACACCAAGGCCCCAACUACCAGCUAGGAAGUUUCCAGAUUUGCCCCAAGGAUGCCUGACCUUCUACCCCAAAGGCAGCAAUCAGGGCCCUGCCUGACCGGGAUACCUUGGCAGGUCACCACCUGGUUCAGCUUGGCAAAGAGACCUUGUACGGCACCUGAAUGGGGCUGUGAGGAUCGGUCCCCCCAAAUCUUCAUCCUCUGCCCCAGAAGGGAGUUCUCGCCCAACCCUCUUUGUCCUCUCUUUGACUGAUGCACCUUAAAUAGGCCUGGGGGACCCUAGGAGGCUCAAGGGAUCUUGGAAAACCCAUGCCAUGCCAAGCUAAGUGCUUGCUCAUAAGGUAGGGCAGGGUAGGGGGCUGGGCAGAACAGGCCAGAAUGGGGACAAGCCAGAGGGCUCCAUCUGCAGCAGAAUGACGCAGUGGCCGGGGACACAGAGCCCAGCUGGCCCUGAUGUAACCCCUCACCAUGCAGGUGAGCGCAGAGGCAAACAGGUGAAGGCCAUUCCAGGGGGCGUGGGCAGGUCCAGCCUUCUGGGUGGGCAAGGGCCCCACAGCCAGAAGGACAUGUGCCCAGGUCAACGUCCUGCAGCUGCCCUCAUAAAAUUCUUAAUAAUUGAAGAUUGAGGGGGCCCUGCAUUUUCAUUUCGCACCGGGCCCCACAAAUUAUGAAGCAGGUCCUGGGUGUGGGUUUCGGAGGAUCAGAGGACCCGGGUUUGAUUUCCAAGGUUUUGUCCCCUACAAACCAAGUGAUAUCAGAAAAGCCACUAAUUAUCUCUGGCUACAGGGAGCCUCAUCUUUAAAGUGGGGUGAUCACACGGCUCUCAGGGUGGCCAGGCCGACCGGGAGGGGUAAAGCGGGAAGAGCUGGGGGAACACGAUUAACUAACUGUCCUACUGAAAUAGGCGCUGCGCCGCAGGCAGGAGAGAGCAAGGCCUGUUUCUGUUGGUGGCGGUGUCCCCAGUCCAGGGAUGACCGACUCUGCUGUGGCAAGAGGUCUCCUUCCAGAGCAGCAGGGCAGGGAAGCCUCGGGCGGGCCCAGCCCAGCUGGCCCCAUUCACAGGUGAAGACGCUGGGAUGACCUGCCUGUUGUCACCGAGUGGCCUCCAGGCCGGGUGACACUGAGGACAUACUGUUCCUGCUGUCCAGGCUUGGCCUUGGCCUCAGGACACUUGAGAUGGGGACAGUGAGAAGAGGGAGUAGGAGGCAGGAUUUGGAAAAGGGAGAAAGGAAAGUCCUUUCUACACAUCUUCACACACACACACACACACACACACACACACACACACACACACACGGCAAAAUUAAAGCUGAGAACUUGGCUAGGAAGACAAAUCCUACCCCUGUUCUAUCGAAACUUAUUUUAGGGCAGGAGGUAAUUGCCAAGGACCCAAAUAAAAAGCCAACCACAGGCUGUAAAUGGCUCCAAGUCUUUAAUUAGACCCCCAGAAAAAAUAGUGGUGAAAAGAAAAUGAAUGUAGGCGAGGGUUCCUGGAGGAAGGAAUAUGCACGCAGCCCCCUCCCAGGUCCAGUGGCUUCAGAGGAAGGCUCCCCUUGCCUGUGGCAGGCACCAGCGUGCCCCUGGACAGGCAGGCCGGAGCCAGGACAGCAGUGCAUGCCCCGAGCCCUGGUCCUGGGUCCCUUCCCCUCUCCCGGUGGCGGCGGCGGCGGUGGCGGUUGCAAUGGGGACGGAGCGCGGGGCCAGGGGAAGGUGAGCUGGAGUCAGGGAGCAGGGAAAGGAGAAAGCUUUGGAUCUGGGGUGGGCUUUGAGCCACACAAAGACCUGCCCGUCAAGCCACAAGGCCCAGUUCCUUGGCCACUGCCCGGUCUGCCCACAGGGCACGUCUCCCGCUCCCUGGGACUGUCCUCCAGCCUUGACCCCGGCGCCCU